UGGGGAAUUUUUGGACAAUGGGCGAAAGCCUGAUCCAGCAAUGCCGCGUGUGUGAAGAAGGCCUUCGGGUUGUAAAGCACUUUUGUCCGGAAAGAAAUCCUUGGCUCUAAUACAGUCGGGGGAUGACGGUACCGGAAGAAUAAGCACCGGCUAACUACGUGCCAGCAGCCGCGGUAAUACGUAGGGUGCAAGCGUUAAUCGGAAUUACUGGGCGUAAAGCGUGCGCAGGCGGUUUGCUAAGACCGAUGUGAAAUCCCCGGGCUCAACCUGGGAACUGCAUUGGUGACUGGCAGGCUAGAGUAUGGCAGAGGGGGGUAGAAUUCCACGUGUAGCAGUGAAAUGCGUAGAGAUGUGGAGGAAUACCGAUGGCGAAGGCAGCCCCCUGGGCCAAUACUGACGCUCAUGCACGAAAGCGUGGGGAGCAAACAGGAUUAGAUACCCUGGUAGUCCACGCCCUAAACGAUGUCAACUAGUUGUUGGGGAUUCAUUUCCUUAGUAACGUAGCUAACGCGUGAAGUUGACCGCCUGGGGAGUACGGUCGCAAGAUUAAAACUCAAAGGAAUUGACGGGGUCAAGCG
RNAcentral lists this ribosomal RNA (578 nucleotides) under uncultured bacterium. RNAcentral describes it as "partial 16S ribosomal RNA". It matches the Rfam family "Bacterial small subunit ribosomal RNA", at positions 355 to 925 of the family's 1533-position model. The record is from RNAcentral.